Molecule: long non-coding RNA, 677 nt
Filed under: Equus asinus (donkey)
Lineage: Eukaryota; Metazoa; Chordata; Mammalia; Perissodactyla; Equidae
Description: lncRNA (ENSEASG00005033691.1)
Source: RNAcentral
CCCUAAGUUCAGGGUUCUUUCAUUGUUAUACAACCCAUGGUGUGCAGGUGUCACCUGGCCCUCUUUGCUUUGCCCUGUGGGUUUUGAGGAACCAACACGAAAAAUGCUGAUACACAGUGAGGAAUAAGUUCUCAUGAGGCCAGAAGUCCUGUGUCUUUUGAAGAUAUCCAAGAGACUGGCUGGCUACCUUGUCAGUUUGCAGAUAGGGCUUUCUCAGACCCUUCACAGUUCUUGAUAAUGUUUCCCUUUGUAAUUAGUAAGUAAUCUAUGGGUGAUACAUUGGCACUGUGUGAAUAUCUUGUUUCUCUACAACACUUUACCUAAUGGUUUUAGAUUCCAUAUAUAAUCUUUGCCUGAAUCAACAAGUUUAUUGGAGGUAGCAAAAUGGUGAUUUUCUGUUUCUAUUAUUCUUUCCACAUUUAUUAACUGCAUUCUUCCGUAGAGCUUCCCCUCAUCCACUGGCGAUGAACUACAGUUCCUUACAAAAAGACUAUAAAGAAAAGCAAGAAAUUUGUGAACAUAACCUUCAGAUGAUGGUCACCUUUAUGGAGAGGCUAGGGGGAAUGGAGCAGAGAGCAACCUCCAGCAGCUUCUAGAAGAUUAGAAAUGUUUCAAUCUGUGUGAAGUCAUGGGUUCAUGGAUGUUUAUUUUAUUGUUAGAUAUACAUAUUCUUUGAC